Molecule: ribosomal RNA, 471 nt
Filed under: uncultured bacterium
Lineage: Bacteria
Description: partial 16S ribosomal RNA
Rfam family: Bacterial small subunit ribosomal RNA
Source: RNAcentral
GACGAACGCUGGCGGCGUGCUUAACACAUGCAAGUCGAACGAUGAAGCCUAGCUUGCUAGGUGGAUUAGUGGCGAACGGGUGAGUAAUACGUGAGUAACCUACCGUUAACUCUGGGAUAAGCCGGGGAAACUGGGUCUAAUACCGGAUACGACCAAUCUCCGCAUGGGGUGUUGGUGGAAAGCGUUAUGUAGUGGUUAUAGAUGGGCUCACGGCCUAUCAGCUUGUUGGUGAGGUAACGGCUCACCAAGGCGACGACGGGUAGCCGGCCUGAGAGGGUGACCGGCCACACUGGGACUGAGACACGGCACAGCCUCCUACGGGAGGCAGCAGUGGGGAAUAUUGCACAAUGGGCGGAAGGCUGAUGCAGCGACGCCGCGUGAGGGAUGACGGCAUUCGGGUUGUAAACCUCUGUUAGCAGGGAAGAAGAGAAAUUGACGGUACCUGCAGAGAAAGCGCCGGCUAACUACGUG